CAGGACAUGCUGCUGCAGACUAUGGCG
Molecule: small RNA, 27 nt
Filed under: Bombyx mori (domestic silkworm)
Lineage: Eukaryota; Metazoa; Arthropoda; Insecta; Lepidoptera; Bombycidae
Description: ovarian small RNA-13277
Source: RNAcentral